AUUGAACGCUGGCGGUAUGCUUAACACAUGCAAGUCGAACGGCAGCAGCAGAGCUUGCUCUGGCUGGCGAGUGGCGGACGGGUGAGUACAACUUAGGAAUCUAUCCAGUAGCUGGGGAUAACCCGGGGAAACUCGGGCUAAUACCGAAUACGCACUACGGUGGAAAGAGGGGGAUCUUCGGACCUCUCACUAUUGGGUGAGCCUAAGCCGGAUUAGCUGGUUGGUGGGGUAACGGCCUACCAAGGCGACGAUCCGUAGCUGGUCUGAGAGGACGAUCAGCCACACUGGGACUGAGACACGGCCCAGACUCCUACGGGAGGCAGCAGUGGGGAAUAUUGGACAAUGGGGGCAACCCUGAUCCAGCAAUACCGCGUGUGUGAAGAAGGCCUGCGGGUUGUAAAGCACUUUCAGUAGGGAAGAAAAGUUGGUGGUUAAUAGCUGCCGGAUUUGACGUUACCUACAGAAGAAGCACCGGCUAACUCCG
This 484-nucleotide ribosomal RNA is filed under the name uncultured Gammaproteobacteria bacterium. Its description in RNAcentral is "bacterial SSU rRNA". It matches the Rfam family "Bacterial small subunit ribosomal RNA", at positions 30 to 505 of the family's 1533-position model. The record is from RNAcentral. Lineage: Bacteria; Pseudomonadati; Pseudomonadota; Gammaproteobacteria.